This 253-nucleotide ribosomal RNA is filed under the name uncultured bacterium. RNAcentral's name for it is "partial 16S ribosomal RNA". It matches the Rfam family "Bacterial small subunit ribosomal RNA", at positions 524 to 776 of the family's 1533-position model. The record is from RNAcentral.
UACGUAGGGUGCGAGCGUUAAUCGGAAUUACUGGGCGUAAAGCGUGCGCAGGCGGUUUUGUAAGCCAGAUGUGAAAUCCCCGGGCUCAACCUGGGAAUGGCAUUUGGGACUGCAAGGCUGGAGUGUGGCAGAGGAGACUGGAAUUCCUGGUGUAGCAGUGAAAUGCGUAGAUAUCAGGAGGAAUACCGAUGGCGAAGGCAGGUCUCUGGGCUGACACCGACGCUCAUGCACGAAAGCGUGGGGAGCAAACAGG